Molecule: long non-coding RNA, 1021 nt
Organism: Oncorhynchus tshawytscha (Chinook salmon)
Lineage: Eukaryota; Metazoa; Chordata; Actinopteri; Salmoniformes; Salmonidae
Source: Ensembl
CCCCCACGUCCCCCAUGAUGUCCCCCACGUCCCCCAUGAUGUCCCCCACGUCCCCCAUGAUGUCCCCCACGUCCCCCAUGAUGUCCCCCACGUCCCCCCACGUCGCCCACGUCCCCCAUGUCCCCCACGUCCCCCAUGAUGUCCCCCACGUCCCCCAUGAUGUCCCCCACGUCCCCCAUGUCCCCCACGUCCCCCAUGUCCCCAGUUAUUACAACUAUAGGUGCAAACUUGUGGACACCUAAAAAGUAACGUACAGUAGUCCACACUCCUGCUGAAUAUCCCUGAUCUGACCUGUUUCAAUACACAGAGACAAUAUCCCUCUUAGCACCUCACACUCCUGCUGAAUAGUCCAGAACAGGACACACACAUGUCUGAUACACUGUACAAUAAAGGCCUGAUUGGUGAAAUGCUGCAGAGAUGGAUGUCCUUCUGGAAGGUUCUCCCAUCUCCACAGAGGAACUCUUGUUACAGUUUGUUCUUCUGGAAGGUUCUCCCAUCUCCACAGAGGAACUCUUGUUACAGGUUGUCAUGUACCUUUUUGAAUAGUCCUGCUGAAUAGUCCAGAACAGGACACACGCAUGUCUGAUACGGUUUGGAAUACGUAGCAUAAUCAAUAUCUUUGAGUGGUUUUUGUUCUUCCUUAUAACUCCCCCAAGAGCUCUACUUGCUGAGUCGGCCAGGACAGAUGUUCUGUUUUGAAAGGUAAUAUGUUCAUGAAUUAAAAUACCCACAUAUUUAUAAUUGCUAGUAAACUCAAGAAUGUCUUCACUAAAACAAAACUGAAAAACACUUCUCUUAGUAACUGUUUUUCUCAAAUGCAUUAUCUGUGUUUCUGUCUGGUUGAUCAUGAGUCUCCAUCUUUACACCAAUUCAUUAUCUGUGUUUCUGUCUGGUUGAUCAUGAGUCUCCAUCUUUACACCAAGUCAUUAUCUGUGUUUUAGUCUGGUUGAUCAUGAGUCUCCAUCUUUACACCAAGUCAUUAUCUGUGUUUUAGUCUGGUUGAUCAUGAGUCUCCAUCUUU